This 492-nucleotide ribosomal RNA is filed under the name uncultured bacterium. Its description in RNAcentral is "partial 16S ribosomal RNA". It matches the Rfam family "Bacterial small subunit ribosomal RNA", at positions 29 to 507 of the family's 1533-position model. The record is from RNAcentral.
AGUGAACGCUGGCGGUAGGCCUAACACAUGCAAGUCGAACGGCAGCACAGUAAGAGCUUGCUCUUACGGGUGGCGAGUGGCGGACGGGUGAGGAAUACAUCGGAAUCUACUUUUUCGUGGGGGAUAACGUAGGGAAACUUACGCUAAUACCGCAUACGACCUACGGGUGAAAGCAGGGGAUCUUCGGACCUUGCGCGAUUGAAUGAGCCGAUGUCGGAUUAGCUAGUUGGCGGGGUAAAGGCCCACCAAGGCGACGAUCCGUAGCUGGUCUGAGAGGAUGAUCAGCCACACUGGAACUGAGACACGCUCCAGACUCCUACGGGAGGCAGCAGUGGGGAAUAUUAGACAAUGGGCGCAAGCCUGAUCCAGCCAUACCGCGUGGGUGAAGAAGGCCUUCGGGUUGUAAAGCCCUUUUGUUGGGAAAGAAAAGCAGCAGGUUAAUACCCCGCUGUUCUGACGGUACCCAAAGAAUAAGCACCGGCUAACUUCGUG